AGAGUGAACGCUGGCGGCAGGCCUAACACAUGCAAGUCGAACGGCAGCACAGAGGAGCUUGCUCCUUGGGUGGCGAGUGGCGGACGGGUGAGGAAUACAUCGGAAUCUGCCUUAUCGUGGGGGAUAACGUAGGGAAACUUACGCUAAUACCGCAUACGACCUACGGGUGAAAGCGGAGGACCUUCGGGCUUCGCGCGAAUAAGAUGAGCCGAUGUCGGAUUAGCUAGUUGGUGGGGUAAACGCCCAACCAAGGCUACGAUCCGUAGCCUGGUCUGAGAGGAUGAUCAGCCACACUGGAACCUGAACGACGACGGUCCAAGUACCUCCGUAACGGGGGAGCCAAGG
Molecule: ribosomal RNA, 345 nt
Filed under: uncultured soil bacterium
Lineage: Bacteria
Description: bacterial SSU rRNA
Rfam family: Bacterial small subunit ribosomal RNA
Source: RNAcentral